This 5216-nucleotide long non-coding RNA is filed under the name Taeniopygia guttata (zebra finch). Its description in RNAcentral is "lncRNA (ENSTGUG00000028298.1)". The record is from RNAcentral. Lineage: Eukaryota; Metazoa; Chordata; Aves; Passeriformes; Estrildidae.
GAAUCUAGAAGCUGCAGAUAACAAAUACAAUUACCAUAGCAUUUACCAGCACAUCCCUCUUUGAGGCAGGACCAUAACACCUCAGAAUUUCUGGAGCUUGGAGGGCUUGCCUUGACUGCUACAGCUAGGAUUUUAUGCAGUCUUUACAAAGUUCAAACUAGGAAAGUAGGGAUGUUAAAUUUAAAUAGAUGUGCUGAGCUUUUUGGGUUUUUCCUCUCUUCUUUUAGGUUCAUUAUAUUUUGUGAUACAAAACAAAGGAUGGAGAAUACAGGGGGGAAAUCUGCAAGGAAACUAAGUCCAAACCUUUAAAAUUUUGAUUUGCCUUCAAGUGGAAGUGGGAUUGAAUAUCCACCCGAGACAGGUCCUGGCAGAAUGGAACAAACAAUAACAGCUCCAGAGAUGUUUCUCAGGCAAAAGUAACAGGACCAGCACAUUCCUUACCAGGUUUGCUUAGCGAGAUCUCAAAUGGGGCAAACACAGGACUUUGAUUCAGCUUUCCCACCAGAAACUACCACAUCAACAUCAAUGCCUACAUCUCUUUCUGCAUGUAAUUGGCACUAAUGCUUUCUCUGGAGAGAGCUGUAUGAGGAAGUUAUCCCAAAAGAAGGCACUUUUUCCACUAUCCGCUCCUGCACAGCUCCUCUUUCCCAUGCAAAUUCCCUGGGAACCAUGCUAUUUAAAUCCCUGUUUUACUGUAGCUGGCUCGUCAUGUUCAUCUGCUCAUUAGGCUGGCAGCGCAAGCUCAGCAGCAUUUGCACUUCAGCAUGAGAAUUUCUGCUGUGAGGUAUGACUGUCAUCCACUUGCCUGGACAUGUUGUUCCUAAAAAUAGCCUUAUCCUUGUUUUCUCUCUCUCCAAAAUAUUAGGCAGUCUCUCUACUUUCUGAACCUUGAUCACAAAAUUCCCUUCUCAUAUCCUCACAACUAAUCCCUCAGUCUCCUCUUCUCUACAGAAAUUAUUACUCCUAAAACACUUCCUUGCCAAGCCAACAGCCCACCUCAAACUUUCCAAGGAGUGGCUUCCUCCUUAGGUCCCUGAAGGUCAGAGGGUGAGCUUCGUUUACCCCACACCCAUGUUGGAUUUCCUAUAAUGAACAGCUUAACCACAGACUGUCACUGACAUUGAAUGGUCACAGCUGGCUGUGGAAGCAGAUGAGGACAUGUAAUUUGGGAGCCACGAUGCCCUAGCAGUAUUCCCUACUCAUUAAUGGAAUGGGCCUGCUAGGGAAAAUCCCACCUCUGACAGAGCCAAAUAACUUACUCUGUCUGGAGCAGACUCAUAUUGCAACUCAGAGGGAGAGGAAACAAUUAUAACAACUGUAUCCCUCCUCAUAUUCAGGGAUCUCAGAUAAGACAUAGGCAACCUGGGGCUGUUGUGUGCCUGUACCAACAGAGAAGCCACAAUAAACAAUGCAGAACUGCAACAGCAGGCAUCUCACCUUUCUGCCCUCAUCUCAUCCUUGUAGGCUCCACUAUGUCCCACAUCCAGUGCCUCAAACACAUCUACCACACAGAAAAAUGUAGAAGCAGAUGAGAGGCUCAGCACGGGGGAGAAGCUUUCUGAGUUCAAGAUGACACCUGCAGCUGCGCCCUACUGGCGGUUCCCUCCACGUCUUGGACAAUCCUAGCAAAACAGAAAGAUUGAAUGAACUCAUGCUGCCAUAAGGGGGAAUUGGGACUUCAUUAUCUUGUGGAAUUGACGAUGAAACGCAGUAUCUCUGCACAUCCCAAGGCUCCUGAGCAGAGUACAAACCAAAGCCUUGCUAACUGUUUAUUAUUAAGAUCUAAAAAUCUGUCGUGUGCCUUUGUAACUUCUUUUGUCGAUUGAUGAGAGGAAGACCCCGAGGGAAGAGAAAACAUUUUCCAGGAAAGAAGCUUUUAACAUCAGAAGACAGGAAACCAAACAGUGUUCCUUGUGCCUCUGCCUUGAAUGCCGGGUGCCGCAUUUUCCUGUGCGAGUCUGGUGGAAGGAGCACAGUGCCCAGCUUGCCCCAGGUGAGAAGGGAGAAAACAAGCUCUUUACUGAAUGUUGGACACUGUUUCUUAUCAUCUGGCAUCCAGAACUGUAAUUUCUAAAUCUGGGCAAAGCAACUACUAAACAAUAUCUUUCUGAUUUGCUAAUGAUUUAAAUACUUAAUGCAAGCACAAAUUGGUUACAGCUAGUGUAAGUGAACUGAAAAUCUUGCUUGUGUAAACUCUACAAGAAGACCAACUUCUAGUGGUCCCAAAGCAGCUUCAGUUUACACAUGCCCUUCUUUCUUUCCUUUCUCUAAUGACAUUUAACUUUUCUCAAAAUCAAAAUCAUCAGGCUAAGCUUGUCUGUGCUGUACCAGAAAGCUUGACUAUCUGACCAUGUCACCAUGCUUAGUUAGUGUCCUGCUGGAAUCCACCACAGAGCCAAUGCUUCCAUAGCUCCAGCACAGCACAUCUGCACAUUUUACAGAAUAGGUACAGAGCAAUGCAGAAGUGCCAGCAAAGUGCUGCAAUGUGUGAAGGGAUCUGAAUGCAUAAUGUAUUGCACUGUGUUUUGAUUAAUUCUCCUGCUCAAAUGGAUGUAAUUGUUUCUCUAGCUCAGCUUCAGGAUGUGGAUUCACAGACAAACACUGUCUGUGCUCUCCAAUGCCACCACACAGGGUGCCCUCAAGUUGUAAUUAGGAUUAAGCCACAAAGGAGUGCAUUGCUAUGCUGCAAUGCCUUCCAGGUGAAAAUACUCUUCAGUUCUAUGACUAUCAAAUCAGGGUUGUUAUGAAAUGUGAGACUGAAUGAUGGUAAAAGUGUGUACCUGCAAUUGCUUCCUUGCUGAGAGACAAAUCAGGAGAACAUGGCUGUGACAGAUCCAGCAGAAGGACCAGGUCAGAAGGGACCAAAAGAGCUAGAAGGAUUCUUUCCAUAUUGUCACCUCACUCCACAUGUGAAAGAAGUCAAAUCUUUACUUUGAAUAUUUUCCUCUGGUUUCUGGUUACAUUUCUUUAGAAAGCAGAUCUAAUGAAAGCACAGGAGAGCCUGUUCUCUGUGGCUGUGGGGUUAAUAAGAGUGGAACACAGGAGCAGCAGGAGCUGCAGGAAGAAUAAUUCCUUUUAAAGCUGGAGAUCGGAAGCCCAUAGGUGGUAAGUGUGACAUUUCCACACGGAGGAGUCCAGCUUAAUUACCUACAAUUCAAAGGUAGAAAGUUAUACAUUAAGGCAGCAAAAAGAAAGUAGUAGGAGAGGACAGACUUUGGCUGCUCACAAAGAUUUAACAUCAUUAACUCUCUGGCUUCCAAGAAUGUUCCUGUAUUUUCACUGGCCAAACACCAAUACAGCUAAUUGCAUUUGUGUUACCUGCAGUUCAGUGGGAAAUUGCCUCUUUCUUAUUGCCUGCACUGUUGUAUAGUACAGAAACACACAGCAAUACCAAGCAGAGUGGCUCUAGCCCAUUUGGAGGUAGAACAAUUCCUGUGUGCAUGAAGCUUGGCUCAGCAAGACAGGCAGACAACACCAAGGGGCCAGAGCUGCUGUUACUCAGAUGGCAGCCAGCUCUGGCGUGGUGACAGGGACAGCAUCCACAGGUGCUAAAUGCCUGAAAGUUAUUUGGCAGAGCCUGCAUGGCUGGGCAGUGCUGGUAAUCGUAAUAUCUGGCCAAUUAAAUAUGAGUCACCUAUUCACCUACUCAGUAUUUAUAUAUGCUACCGACAGACAUAUGGUUUACAGCAAACUAGGGAACAGACACUGCUGCACACUCAUUUCUUCAUCUUUCCCAGCAUUUGCUGAUGCAUUCUCAGUUGAGACUAAUACAGGCCAAACUUCCUUUCCAAUAUACCACUAAAAAGGCUAUAUUCUGACAGCUGUUGUUAUUGCCUUAAUCUCUUCUGUGUUGCUCAUUCCUAAAAUGAGGAACUGGUGGCCAACUCUGAAUUACCAAGCUCCCAAAGUCAGACAUGCUGAGAGGACCAAGACUAAUUUGCCAGAUACAUUUUCUUGUGCUAUGAAGUCAGUGUAAUAGCUUCUCACACCCCUAUCCUCUUGUCUGAGCGCCAUUUGUAUCUGUUCAGUUGCAUCAAUACAGGUGACUGUGAGACACACAAAAUAAAAUAGGUACAAUCCAUUUAAAAAACCUGUAAAAAAUAGCAUCAUAUCGUCAAACAGACUGAUGGGAGCCCCUUUCUCAAGCACUGCUGCUCACACAGCAAAAAGGAGAGCACCAUUAAAGCCCUUUCCCUUGGGUCUGCUCCCAACCAGAUGAGCGUGGGGAACCAUUGCCCAGCCUGGGCUUAGUCCAUAAAUUAUUUUUUUCUAUUAUAGGCAGAAAGAGAGAAAGCAAAUGGAGAAAAUCAGCAUUCACAUGUGGAUGCCAGAGAAAGCAAAACAUUACAUGGAUUCACUUAAUGCUUUCUUUGCAGGGCACUUGGCUGCUCUGAGAUGAGCAGAUGAAGGCAAACAGGCCCAGACCUCCUGUUCUUCCUGCACUUCCGCUGCUGGACACAAGGAACGUGCAGGAAGAAACACUGCAUCCCCAGGAUGUUCACUACACACAGCUCCUCAGCUGCCACAGGACAAAGAGCUAUCACCUGCAAGCUGCCAAGAGCCAGAUCUGAUCAAACCCUUAGCCCUGCAAUGUUACAGUAAAGGGUGUUUCUGCUUGUAUAUGCUCUGAGUGCCUCCCUCCAUCACCAAUUCCCAGCUGCUGCAAGACCUGGGCCAGGGGAACCUCUUGAUCCUCCUAUGCCACUGUAUUUGCUGGCUGGUAAAACCAAUGUGACCAGAAGAUCUCAUGGACAAAGAAGUUGACACCUCUGAGGCAGCUGAGAAUGGACAUCUCUGAUUUCUGAACAUCCUUCCCCACCUCAGUCUUAAUGCACUGAUUUAAGAUGAUUAAAGUGGCCGAUCCUGGAAAGGCAGAAAACUUCAAGACUUGCCAUUAUAUUAUGGAAGGGCUGGAAUCUCUUCAGAGAUGAGGUUGUAAUCAGUUUCCACUCUCAGCUCUGACUUAAAUAACUCUUCAUAUGCUUUCUUCUAACUUCAUCUCAUAAUUGCAGGGUUUUUUACUGAAGGUAAAAAAGAUUGUUUUCCUCGCUUCCCUCCUCCUCACUGCAAUUUGAAAAAUUUGGACCUGUAAUUCAAAGAGGAAGGCAAUGCCAGACUGAACCUUUGCAAGACUAAAUGUUUCCUUAGCUUCUUUCACUUAAGAAAACAAAGUAAAACACUCCCCCUCAAAAAAAAAAAAAAAACAACAAAAAAAA